AACGAACGCUGGCGGCAUGCCUAACACAUGCAAGUCGAACGAGACCUUCGGGUCUAGUGGCGCACGGGUGCGUAACGCGUGGGAACCUGCCCUUAGGUUCGGAAUAACUCCCCGAAAGGGGUGCUAAUACCGGAUAAUGUCUUCGGACCAAAGAUUGAUCGCCUUUGGAUGGGCCCGCGUUGGAUUAGCUAGUUGGUAGGGUAAAAGCCUACCAAGGCGACGAUCCAUAGCUGGUCUGAGAGGAUGAUCAGCCACACUGGGACUGAGACACGGCCCAGACUCCUGCGGGAGGCAGCAGUGGGGAAUAUUGGACAAUGGGCGAAAGCAUGAUCCAGCAAUGCCGCGUGAGUGAUGAAGGUCUUAGGGUUGUAAAGCUCUUUUACCCGGGAUGAUAAUGACAGUACCGGGAGAAUAAGCUCCGGCUAACUCCGUG
Molecule: ribosomal RNA, 433 nt
Filed under: uncultured bacterium
Lineage: Bacteria
Description: partial 16S ribosomal RNA
Rfam family: Bacterial small subunit ribosomal RNA
Source: RNAcentral